GGUUCGAUUCUGGCUCAGAUUGAACGCUGGCUGGAUGCUUUACACAUGCAAGUCGAACGGCAGCACGGACUUCGGUCUGGUGGCGAGUGGCGAACGGGUGAGUAAUGUAUUUUAGAACGUGCCUAGUGUAGUGGGGAUAACUACGCGAAAGCGUAGCUAAUACCGCAUACGCCCUUCGGGGAAAGCGGGGACCUUCUUUCGGGCCUCACCAGUUGAUGGCUGAUAUCGGAUUAGCUAGUUGCGGGGUAACGGCUCACCAAGGCGACGAUCCGUAGCUGGUUUGAGAGGACGACCAGCCACACUGGGACUGAGACACGGCCCAGACUCCUACGGGAGGCAGCAGGGGGAAUUUUGCACAAUGGGGAAACCCUGAUCCAGCCAUCCCGCGUGUGCGAUGAAGGCCUUCGCUGUAAAGCACUUUGGCAGGAAAGAAACGGCACGGGAUAAUACCCCGUGCAACUGACGGUACCUGCAGAAUAAGCACCGGCUAACUACGCCAGCAGCCGCGGUAAUACGUAGGGUGCAAGCGUUAAUCGGAAUUACUGGGCGUAAAGGUGUGCGCAGGCGGUUCGGAAAGAAAGAUGUGAAAUCCCAGAGCUUAACUUUGGAACUGCAUUUUUAACUACCGAGCUAGAGUGUGUCAGAGGGAGGUGGAAUUCCGCGUAGCAGUGAAAUGCGCAGAUAUGCGGAGGAACACCGAUGGCGGGCAGCCUCCUGGGAUAACACUGACGCUCAUGCACGAAAGCGUGGGGAGCAAACAGGAUUAGAUACCCUGGUAGUCCACGCCCUAAACGAUGUCAACUAGCUGUUGGGCCUUCGCCCGGUAGCGCAGCUAACGCAUGAAGUUGACCGCCUGGGGAGUACGGUCGCAAGAUUAAAACUCAAAGGAAUUGACGGGGACUCGCACAAGCGGUGGAUGAUGUGGAUUAAUUCCGAUGCAACGCGAAACCCACUACCCUUGACAUGUCUGGAAUCCCGAAGAGAUUUGGGAGUGCUCGCAAGAGAACCGAACACAGGUGCUGCAUGGCUGUCGUCAGCUCGUGUCGAGAUGUUGGGUUAAGUCCCGCAACGAGCGCAACCCUUGUCAUUAGUUGCUACGAAAGGGCACUCUAAUGAGACUGCCGGUGACAAACCGAGGAAGGUGGGGAUGACGUCAAGUCCUCAUGGCCCCCAGGUAGGGUUUGCCGACGUCAUACAAUGGUCGGGACAGAGGGUCGCCAACCCGCGAGGGGGAGCCAAUCCCAGAAACCCGAUCGUAGUCCGGAUCGCAGUCUGCAACUCAUCUGCGUGAAGUCGGAAUCGCUAGUAAUCGCGGAUCAGCAUGUCGCGGUGAAUACGUUCCCGGGUCUUGUACACACCGCCCGUCACACCAUGGAGUGGGUUUUACCAGAAGUAGUUAGCCUGUUCCGGGUAAGGAGGGCGAUUACCACGGUAGGACCUGCGACUGGGGGUCGUAACAAGGUAG
RNAcentral lists this ribosomal RNA (1465 nucleotides) under uncultured Bordetella sp. RNAcentral describes it as "partial 16S-23S ribosomal RNA intergenic spacer". It matches the Rfam family "Bacterial small subunit ribosomal RNA". The record is from RNAcentral. Lineage: Bacteria; Pseudomonadati; Pseudomonadota; Betaproteobacteria; Burkholderiales; Alcaligenaceae.